CAGCCGCCGCGGUAAUACGUAGGGUGCGAGCGUUAAUCGGAAUUACUGGGCGUAAAGCGUGCGCAGGCGGUUUUGUAAGACAGAGGUGAAAUCCCCGGGCUCAACCUGGGAACUGCCUUUGUGACUGCAAGGCUAGAGUACGGCAGAGGGGGAUGGAAUUCCGCGUGUAGCAGUGAAAUGCGUAGAUAUGCGGAGGAACACCGAUGGCGAAGGCAAUCCCCUGGGCCUGUACUGACGCUCAUGCACGAAAGCGUGGGGAGCAAACAGGAUUAGAUACCCCGGUAGUCCCUGUCUCUUAUAC
This 301-nucleotide ribosomal RNA is filed under the name uncultured bacterium. Its description in RNAcentral is "partial 16S ribosomal RNA". It matches the Rfam family "Bacterial small subunit ribosomal RNA", at positions 509 to 807 of the family's 1533-position model. The record is from RNAcentral.